This 322-nucleotide long non-coding RNA is filed under the name Mus musculus (house mouse). Its description in RNAcentral is "long non-coding RNA chr4:123926233-123926555". Lineage: Eukaryota; Metazoa; Chordata; Mammalia; Rodentia; Muridae. The record is from RNAcentral.
UCAAGGACAACAAGAAGAUGCCAGAAAGUCGGCUAAAAAAGUCAGACCCAAUAAAUACAUCUGGUGGCAAGGCCAAAAAGAAGUGGUCCAAAGGCAAAGUUUGGGACAAGCUGAACAAUCUCAUCCUGUUUGACAAAGCUACAUAUGACAAGCUCUGUAAGGAAGUUUCCAACUACAAGCUUAUUACUCUAGCCGUGGUCUCUGCGAGACUGAAGAUUCGAGGUUCUUGCCCAUGGCAGCCCUUUGAGAGCUCCUUAGUAAAAGACUGUUCAAGCUGGUUUCAAAGCACAGAGCCACUCACACCAGAAACACAAAGGGUGGA